Molecule: ribosomal RNA, 450 nt
Filed under: uncultured bacterium
Lineage: Bacteria
Description: partial 16S ribosomal RNA
Rfam family: Bacterial small subunit ribosomal RNA
Source: RNAcentral
GUAGGGAAUUUUGGACAAUGGGGGCAACCCUGAUCCAGCCAUGCCGCGUGCGGGAAGAAGGCCUUCGGGUUGUAAACCGCUUUUGUCAGGGAAGAAAUCCUUUGGGUUAAUACCUCGGAGGGAUGACGGUACCUGAAGAAUAAGCACCGGCUAACUACGUGCCAGCAGCCGCGGUAAUACGUAGGGUGCGAGCGUUAAUCGGAAUUACUGGGCGUAAAGCGUGCGCAGGCGGUUUUGUAAGAUCGAUGUGAAAUCCCCGGGCUCAACCUGGGAACUGCAUUGGUGACUGCAAGGCUGGAGUGCGGCAGAGGGGGAUGGAAUUCCGCGUGUAGCAGUGAAAUGCGUAGAUAUGCGGAGGAACACCGAUGGCGAAGGCAAUCCCCUGGGCCUGCACUGACGCUCAUGCACGAAAGCGUGGGGAGCAAACAGGAUUAGAUACCCUAGUAGUCC